AUGGCCACUCACCCAAAUUUCCAUGCUAUUCCAUUUACUGGGUCCGUGGAGAACACCGAGUUUAGGUUCAGUAGCUUGUACAUGCACCACAUUUAUUCCGGACCGAGCCCAAACCAAUCAAACAUCGUAGCUGCAGAUGCUACCACUGGGUGGGGCAAGACAACAGUUAACAAUUGGACAAUAUAUGAUGGGGUUGGCACCGACGCCAAGCUAGUGGCCCGUGCACAAGGGCUGCAUGUCUACGCUGGUAUUUGGCACAAUACCUUCACCAUUGUGUUCGAGAUUGAAGGGUUCAAGGAAAGCACGCUGCAGGUAAUGGGAGCAACUGUUCAGACAGGUGAGUGGUCUAUUGUCGGGGGAACUGGUGAGCUCGCGAUGGCCUCUGGUGUUGUAAACAAAAGGGUGCACGGGAAAACAGAUGGUGGAGACAUAAUCGAGCUUACCAUCCAUGGCUUCUGCCGCAAGCAGAUCGCUCCCACGAAGGCUGGUCCAUGGGGUGGCAAUGGUGGUUCUGUUGUUGAAUCUGAUAAACCCUGGAAGAUAGAGAGCAUCACCAUCCUGUAUCAAGGAGUAAUUGGUUCACUUGAAUAUUCUUACAUCAGCCAAAAUGGCAACAAGCGCACCGCAGGUCCUUGGGGUAGUAAGAAUCCCAACCGCGCCGAGAUUGUGCUGGGCCCUGGGGAGGUUGUGACAGCAGUGUCUGGAACAAUUACCAAACAUAAUAACCUCGAUGUCAUACAGACACUUAAGUUUGUCACCAACAAGAAAACACACGGACCUUAUGGAAAUACUGAUAAUGCAAAAGUUGGUACUCCUUUCAGCACUGUCGUACCAAAUGGCAAAACAAUUGUUGGCUUCUUUGGGCGUACUGAUAUGAGAUACCUGAACGCACUUGGUGUUUACGUGGCCUAG
RNAcentral lists this ribosomal RNA (912 nucleotides) under Triticum aestivum (bread wheat). Its description in RNAcentral is "partial small subunit ribosomal RNA". The record is from RNAcentral. Lineage: Eukaryota; Viridiplantae; Streptophyta; Magnoliopsida; Poales; Poaceae.